This is a long non-coding RNA of Dioscorea cayenensis subsp. rotundata (Guinea yam), 741 nucleotides long. RefSeq lists it as uncharacterized. The record is from RefSeq and is a predicted model, not a curated record. The transcript has 3 exons. Lineage: Eukaryota; Viridiplantae; Streptophyta; Magnoliopsida; Dioscoreales; Dioscoreaceae.
UCCUCUCUUAGAUAAAUAAACAAGUAUAUAUAUAUAUAUAUAUAUAUGGCCUUCAAGGAUUUUCUUUCUUUCAUAUGUUGUCCAUUUAGAAUGUGUUUAGAUAUAACCAAGUGUUGUUGCUCUAUAUGUGAAAACACAAACAAAGUUUGUACCAAAUUGUCUACUUGUUCUUGCAACUUAUGUACAAACACAACCAUAUGUUGUUCAAAUGUUUGUGAAAAAACCGGCAAAUGUAGCGGCAAACUCUGCGAAACCACCUGCUCAUGUUGUGCUGAUUGUUGCACAAAGUUGUACUCACUUUGUUGCAGUGCAGAUGUAUGGAUGCAAAUAUUCUCUUGUUGUAACUGCUGUUGCCCAAACGAUACUGGGGAUGGGGAUCAAAGCUCAGGUGCCAUGGCAGUGAUAUUAGCAACACACUUCCCACCAAUUGGAGUCUUCACUAAAUAUAAAUUUGGGAUAGAGUUCUGGAUCUGUUUAUUGUUGACAACCAUUGGCUACUUGCCAGGAAUGUUUUAUGCUAUCUAUAUCUUAUCCUGAGAAGUGGUGCCAAGCAAAACAGUGGAUAUUUGAUUGUGCAUGCUUGAUCAGAAUAACAGUUGUUGUCAGUGUGGUUAAUUAUUUUGUUCAACUUCAUUCAUUUUCGGGAAAUAAGAAAUCUAUGUAUUUCUAUAUAUCGUUUAAUUAUAACUGGUCAUCUGUUUUCGGUUUGUCGUUUUUCACCUUUUAAUUAGUUGUGACAAU